GACGAACGCUGGCGGCGUGCUUAACACAUGCAAGUCGAACGGUAAGGCCCUUCGGGGUACACGAGUGGCGAACGGGUGAGUAACACGUGGGUGAUCUGCCCUGCACUUCGGGAUAAGCCUGGGAAACUGGGUCUAAUACCGGAUAGGACCACUGCCUGCAUGGGUGGUGGUGGAAAGCUUUUGCGGUGUGGGAUGGGCCCGCGGCCUAUCAGCUUGUUGGUGGGGUGAUGGCCUACCAAGACGACGACGGGUAGCCGGCCUGAGAGGGUGACCGGACACACGGGGACUGAGAUACGGCCCAUACUCCUACGGGAGGCAGCAGUGGGGAAUAUUGCACAAUGGGCGCAAGCCUGAUGCAGCGACGCCGCGUGAGGGAUGACGGCCUUCGGGUUGUAAACCUCUUUCAGCACCGACGAAGCGCAAGUGACGGUAGGUGCAGAAGAAGGACCGGCCAACUACGUGCCAGCCGCCGCCGUAA
This 478-nucleotide ribosomal RNA is filed under the name uncultured bacterium. Its description in RNAcentral is "partial 16S ribosomal RNA". It matches the Rfam family "Bacterial small subunit ribosomal RNA", at positions 28 to 523 of the family's 1533-position model. The record is from RNAcentral.